UACGAAGGGGGCUAGCGUUGCUCGGAAUCACUGGGCGUAAAGGGUGCGUAGGCGGGUCUUUAAGUCAGGGGUGAAAUCCUGGAGCUCAACUCCAGAACUGCCUUUGAUACUGAGGAUCUUGAGUUCGGGAGAGGUGAGUGGAACUGCGAGUGUAGAGGUGAAAUUCGUAGAUAUUCGCAAGAACACCAGUGGCGAAGGCGGCUCACUGGCCCGAUACUGACGCUGAGGUGCGAAAGCGUGGGGAGCAGACAGG
RNAcentral lists this ribosomal RNA (253 nucleotides) under uncultured bacterium. RNAcentral's name for it is "partial 16S ribosomal RNA". It matches the Rfam family "Bacterial small subunit ribosomal RNA", at positions 524 to 776 of the family's 1533-position model. The record is from RNAcentral.